This is a non-coding RNA of Schistosoma rodhaini, 48 nucleotides long. NCBI's taxonomy places the organism in Eukaryota, Metazoa, Platyhelminthes, Trematoda, Strigeidida, Schistosomatidae. The record is from Rfam.
AUCCAGCUGACGAGUCCCAAAUAGGACGAUGUGUCGCACAUCCUGGAU